Molecule: ribosomal RNA, 674 nt
Filed under: uncultured archaeon
Lineage: Archaea
Description: bacterial SSU rRNA
Rfam family: Archaeal small subunit ribosomal RNA
Source: RNAcentral
AUACUCUAUAGACUAUGGAUGCUGGAAUGCUUUGUAGUCGAAAGGUCCGCCGCCGUAGGAUGGGUCUGCGGCCGAUUAGGUUGUUGUUGGGGUAACGGCCCAACAAGCCUGUAAUCGGUACGGGUUGUGGGAGCAAGAGCCCGGAGAUGGAUUCUGAGACACGAAUCCAGGCCCUACGGGGCGCAGCAGGCGCGAAAACUUUACAAUGCGGGAAACCGUGAUAAGGGAACUCCGAGUGCCCGUAAAAUCGGGCUGUCCAUCUGCUUAAAUCACAGGUGAAGAAAGGGCCGGGCAAGACCGGUGCCAGCCGCCGCGGUAAUACCGGCGGCUCGAGUGGUGGCCACUAUUACUGGGCUUAAAGCGUUCGUAGCUGGUUUGUUAAGUCUCUGGGGAAAUCUUCCGGCUUAACCGGAAGGCGUCUCAGGGAUACUGGCAGACUAGGGACCGGGAGAGGUGAGGGGUACUCCAGGGGUAGGAGUGAAAUCCUGUAAUCCUUGGGGGACCACCUGUGGCGAAGGCGCCUCACCAGAACGGCUCCGACAGUGAGGGACGAAAGCUGGGGGAGCAAACCGGAUUAGAUACCCGGGUAGUCCCAGCUGUAAACGAUGCGCGUUAGGUGUAUCGAUGACCACGAGUCAUCGAGGUGCCGAAGAGAAAUCGUGAAACGUGCCGCC